Molecule: non-coding RNA, 8985 nt
Organism: Zonotrichia albicollis (white-throated sparrow)
Lineage: Eukaryota; Metazoa; Chordata; Aves; Passeriformes; Passerellidae
Source: RefSeq, a predicted model, not a curated record
CGGAGCGCCGCCGCCACUACACACACGCCAGAUCGCUUCAAUUUCUCCGUGCCAGCUCCCGGCACCGAGAGCUGGCGGCGAGGAGGAGAGCUGCAUGGCGAGCUGGCCCCAGCGCAGCCAGGAGCGGGAGUUCUGGAGGGAUGGCUGCUGUGGCGCGGCUCUCCUCAGUGCUGGACGCUCAGGGCACAGCUCCUGCUGCAAGGCGCCUUCAGCCGCUGAGGCUCCGCCAAAGAAAUGGGCACGGGCACCGCGACAUCCCCGUGUCUCCUUUUGCGACAAAAUCGGGACCAUCCGCAGCUGGCAGCCAAUGUAACCUCGGACCAAUGUGCUGACUCUUCUUCCUGUAGCAGACAGCUCAGGCUAAGCCCAAGCAAGCUGCCUUUGCAAGGGAUACCAGAGGGUGACACCUCUGUGUAGACAAAUAUACCCAAGUGUGACAGAGCACCUGCCAUCAGUCUCUCUUUCAUUUAGGAUGGGCUUUAAAAGCAAGUUCCUUGACGACUUUUUGUAACAGAUCUUUCAGUAUUUUGCUGAGAAAGGUUUAGCUUUCUGAUGCUAAGUUCUCAGGUGGUUGCAAUCAGUUCCCCUUUCAAGCCUUGAUGGAUUCUGCACUGCAGUAGCAUCUCAAAUUUAUAAUUUCUAAAUACGUUCAAAUUAAUAGGAGUCUACUAAUUGAUCUCAGUACUUGCUAGUCUGGACUGGGCCCACAGGCUCACGUUGAGCAGCUACUUCAGCAGAAUCAAAACCAUGAGUGGGAGCCACAUCAGAUAGUCAGAUCUGAGUAUCUGCUGAUUUCCAUGAGAUUUUUUACAACUUUUGGCAAUCAUCUGGCUGGUUUCAGCAAAACAAGGCUAUUCACAUUCAAUUAUCAAAUACCAAAAUUCUGCCAAUUGCCUUUGUGUGAGUCUUUGGCAAACCAGACAGUUCAAUGUGGUUAUGUGGGCUUUUACUAAUAAAUGCUGAACAGCAUUAAAAGCAGAACUGGAUUUUUAGCAUAUUGGGUCACAAGACAGAAACCAGUUGAAAUUUCCUAGUGGCAACAUUUCUUACAAUGACUGGAUGUUUAUUUGCUGUUAUUAAUCAGUAAAACUUCAUUGUGGACUGUGCAGGAUCCUCUACAAGACAUGGAAAUACACACUGCCUUGAGAGCUUGGAGUCCGAAAAAAAUGUUUCUUGUGUGAGUUAAUUGAACACAGUCAUUUGCAUUAAAAGACUGUAGUGUUGUAGGGAGGAUCUGAAUGUUUUGUCAUGUACCUUUACAUUUCUCAGGCCCUUUGUGUGCAAAGUGUCACUGCCCAGUUGCCUUAACAUUGAAAUAUUUACCAAGGAUAUGUGCUGCACGUACUCUGGUUCUGUUGGAGAGUCUACUUCUGCUUCCACUCACUUUGCUUUAAAAAAAAUAUUACUUGAAAUCUAAAGAAAUGUUACUUUACACUCUAGUAUAAGAUUUGUUCUGAAAAGCUGAUAUAAAGCAGAGCAGGACAAUUGUCACAAGAGAUAAAUCAGCCAAGAAAUUUACACUGCUAACUCCACCCUUCUGCUGCAAAUCCUUAAAUGUGUCAUAUGAGAUUAGACUGAUACUAUGGCAAUACUUGUGCCAACAAUCAGAACUAACAGACAUUUUUGCAAAGGCAGAAUUCAUGCAUGAAAGAUUUGUUUUUAAUCUGCCCAAAUGGAGUAGGUAAAUUUAUACCCUCCUACUGGAUGCUGGAAAGCUCAGCUUGGAAAGAGUUGGAAAGCUCCAACCUACUCCCAGUCUCCAUCAGCAAUGUUUGUCCCCAGAUCUCAUGGGCACAGACCUGUCCCAGAGCAGAGGGUGAAUACAGGAGCUCACAAUCCUUACAAGAAUUAGUGAAGGGUCUCUCAGGAUCAGGAGACUGUCGUCCCAGAAACCCCACAGGACUGUACAAGGGCCUUGAACUAUUGCCAUCCACACUGAAAUGAGCAGGAGGAGAAAUAUAAUUAAAGAGCAUUUCAUAACCUGCAUGGUUCUGAAUAAAGGUUUCACUGGCAAUUUCGUUUGGACAUUGCCUAACUUUUAAAGGCUUGGCUUUGCAACAUUCAUAGUGUUCCUGUAACACCUGUAGCAUUUCCUGUGCUCCUGAAAAGGACAGCUGUUGGUGCAGGCUCAUGCAGCAUCACAGCCCCUCCAUGGGCCAUCAGCUGACUGUCCCCACCCUUGUGUGUCCAGCACAGACUUCUCCUUUUACUGAAAGUUACAGCAGCAGUGGCUGUUAUCCUCCAUCCAGACCAGCAGCAGAGAGGGAUGAGUGUUGGAAUUUGGAUUAUUCAGUGGAUUCAUAAGACCAUUCCUGAGGCUAUUUAGUAUUUACACAGUUGUCUCAAGCAUGUUUCUACAAAACAGUGUGAUUAGGAGCUAGCUCUUACACAAUGAACAAAAAUAAAGCAAUUAAUUAGUUAAGCUUGCUUAAGCCGACCACAAGAUCAAUCUAGCAACUUCAGAAUCAUCUUUGACCGAAUUCAGAUACCUCUGAUAUAUAGUCCCACUUGCCUUUUCUUAAUUUAGUGGCUGCCAGACUAAUGAAUUGACCCUUUCUCCCUUGGUCAUGUGGCCUUCUCACUGCCUCCUCCCAACUGUAAAAUUCUUGUCAUCCAACUGCCUGACAGCCUGCUCUCCUCCCCCAGGCAGGCAGCUGCUGCCUCAGCCAAGGACACUCAGCUCCAGUGGUUUCUGUGCUGCUGCUGCUGGGGCAGGCAGCACAAGAGGCAAAUUCUUUGCUGGCUGAGCCAACAUGAAGCCCAGCCUCAGGGAAGCUCUGUUCCACUUCCAGCUCUGCAAGUCAGGAUGUCCCAGCAGGCAGAGCCCGUGGUGCCCCUCUCCACCCACACAUCCCCUGCUCUGCCCCAUGUGGGGCUGCUUCCCACAGCUCCCCCCUGCUACUCCAUUCCCUCCCUGCUGCCUGUGCCCCACCUCCACGCUCAGACUUGGAUCACCUGUUCCUUCCCCAGACUGUCCCUCCUUUCCUAAUCUCCAAUAGGGCCUCCAGCUUUGGUUCCCCACGCCAGGUCCUAGUCCUCUUGUCUGGUUCUUCAUGUCACUGCCUAUCCCCUUGACUUUCCACUCUCUUCCUUCUUCUUUCCUUCUACUGAAGUUCUGUUGUGCCUUCUGUCUGCCAGUUCCUUGCCAACCAGUCUCAACAUAAAACUCUAAUUCCCAGUUGUUUGUUUGUUCUUUCUUUCUCUCUCUCUCUCUCUCUCUCUCUCUCUCUUCCUAUAUCUCAGUCUCCCACUAUCAUGUCUCAGAUCCCAAAAUUUCACACUAGAUUUUGCCUUCCUCUCAUCUACACCUCAGUCUAUGUAGACCUUCCUGUCACAUCCCAUUCCUUUCCCUUGAAUUGUCAGUUUACCAGAAGUUUGGCUUCAGUCUCUUGGCCAAGGGUUGCAAGGGGUUUAGUUAUUCUGAAGGAUAGAAGCAUGUUUUGAAGGCUGAUGGCACAACAAAUCCCACUUAAUUUUGUGAGUACCAUGCCUAUCAUGGAAAUAGUGAAUGCCUUUGUCAUUCUUUUCUGUCUCCCCUGCGAAUGGCACCUUGGCCCCACUGCCUUUAUUAUAAGUAGACAAAAACUGGGAAGGCUGGACCACUUGGCAGAAGGGGAGCGAGGAAGGCACAGAAACCAAACCUGGAGGAUGCACAUGGAGGGCCAGAGCCCUUGUCAAUGUCUAGAAGCUGAUCCUCAGUGCACUGGCUGACACCAAGCUCUGUCCCAUUGAAAUCAGACUCUGACCCCCCAGAGCAAAAGCUUCUGCUUGGGCCAAGAUGUCUUUGCAAUACAAAGAAGGAUGCAAAGAAGGGGAACUUCAAGAUAUGGUUCUCUGUUGAAGGACUACAGUACAAUAAGAUGUUGCUAUUUUUACUGUCACUUCCUUUUAUAUAUUCAGGGCCAGGUCUGCUUACUUGAGUGACAAGAAGUUAUUUUUCCUUUUUCUCCAACUGUUUUUACAAAGCAAAUGUAUGAUAAAAGGACAGAGUAUCUAUGUUCUCAAACACAAGCAGCAUGAUUUAGGAUUUUAGAACUACCAUGUAAAAACUCAUUCUGGUCCUGCCAGCUUCUACUUUCAACUCAUUAGCCACCUAUCCAUGUCUGUUAGCAAUUUUUCAAAAGGCUUCCUAGCUCUUACCAGAACUCUUCCAGGUGGAAAGAGAGGACAUAUCAGCACUGAAGCAGCACAUCCAGAAUGUCAUGCAUGAAGUUAUUUUCUUAUUUACCUGUAUGAGCACAAACUUUUUCAGUAUGUGCUGUGUCCUAACUGUCCCAAGGCCAGCAGCUCAUCAGUUUGUUGAGAGCAAGGGAAAACUGCAAAUCCAGCAGGCUAUCAAGCAAGCUAAUCUUCAAUUAUACAAAUGGAGAGUCAACCAGUUCAAACAAUUUAUCUUUCAAAGUCAACACAACAAACAACAGAAACAAGCAAGAGCUUUUUCAUUCACAACAGACAAUAAACUGUAUUUUUUUAGUGUAGCUAUUCUAGACAGGAUAGUAACAGCUGUUAGAAACUCCUAUUUUCCUCUGCAGUGAAAGACAGGGCAAAUUAAAGGCUUCAGUUGCCUGUACUUUGAAAGGGGAAAAAGGCCAGAAUGAAAACUCAGUUAAACUGAAACAGAUGCUGAUUAUUCCAGCUCCAGUCAGGACAACCAUGAAGAAACCAACUUUUCUUGAUUUAAUUUUCCUUUCUGGUACUUGCAAAUCCAUUUCUGACAUCCCAGGGUAACUCAAUAGGACAAAACAGGAUCCAACAGGACACCCUGUGCUCUGGUAGACAAGCUUCUCUUAGCUUUGGUCUGCAGCACCUGAAUUUCAGUAGGUAGUGUGCCUUCCAAGUGUGCCUAACCACAUCCAGGUCUAGUAUAACUCCCACAACUAAGGGGCAAGAGAGAAUGAGUAUUCUCAAAAGUGAGUUUAAAUCUACAGAAUCUGAGCUUCCUCUGUAGUCAAUAAGAUAAGCCCAGUGCUUAGGCACUCUGAAUCACAUUCUGAAGAAAUCACUUUUUCCAUUGACCUCAUGCAGACCCUGGGGAGUUGAGCUUUCCAAGGGAAAAGCCACUUCCUCCCCAGGAAAGUGCAUUCAAGUCUAAGUGGCCCUGGGUUCACCAGCUUUUCACAUGGCUCACGAGCUGCUGGAGUGCUGUAGGUCUGUGCCUGCAGGUGGUACAAGGCAUCUCCUACCAUUGUACCUGUUUCCCUUGGCUCUCAUGGCAGCCUUCUAAAAGAGGCUGGCACCAGUACUGUGGUGUGGUGUGGCUUUCAUUUGCACUGCAUGUUGUUUCAUGCCUCCAGAGAUCCCUGCAGAUUAGUACCAGGCUGACUGGAAUGGCAUGGUGCGCAGGAAUGCGAGGGCAGCCCAAGCUUUUCUCUGCUCAGCUUCACACAAGGGCAUAUCCUGACUCCAUUCCACAUAAAAGAGGGAGCAGCUUCCACCUCCCUGCUGUCCUCUCUGAUCUUCCUGCUCUCAGCAGCCACAAGAGUGGCAGUGUAGCCCCUGCUUGUGAGACAGAGCCUGACCACAGCCAGUUCUUGACUGGGUCAUUUCAGCUGAUAAAGGUGCAAAGCCGAAGGAAGGAGGCUCACAGUAGCCAAGAAAGGGGAAAGGUCUCAGGCAGCGGUGGCUCCAGGAAGGCAGAACAACUUUAUUACAGGCUUUUUUGAGAUUGCUGGAAACAGCUCACCUGUGUCCUAAAAGUGGCUGGGAGUGGCAGCACGUCCAUGCUGAGCUGUGUGAAACGGCCGCCCCUGCCCAGGCACGUAUCACUGCCAGCAGGUUAACCCAGGCCACAGGCACAAGCAGUUUUCCUUGGGAUUACAGCUUGUCACUGCUGCCAGCCCUGCUGCCUGAAAUGUGGAAGAAGAUGAAGAUCAGCUGAAUAGGGGAGUCUCCAGGAAGACAAACAAACACAACCCUCCUUCGCAUUCUCACAAUCAGAAAAAUAUUCCUUAAGAGUGACCCGGGAAGAAGAAGUUGAGUUUGAAUAAAAUAUUUGCCUGUUGGUCUUAAUAGCUGCAGCUCUAUUAUUUUCUCUUCCUCUUCAGAAUGCCAGCAGGGAUUGAGUGCUGGAGCCAGGGAUGUAUUUCCUGAAGGGUGACAAACAGCAAUAAAGCCUAAAGUCAGUUCCACACUGAAAUUCUUACAUAAAUUGCUCCUUCUUGAAGAAAAGAGAUGGCUGAAAAAUAAAACCAGAAAGCAGCAUGAAAUAAGUAAUCCUACAGUUCAGUUACAGGAAGUGAAAAGAACAACCCCAAAAGUCAGUCAAGGAGCACACCUGUAAAGGGGGGGUUUCAGCUGAGGAUUUCUAAAUGAAACCCUGAAAACUAAAUCAUUCUGGUGCAGAUAGAUCUUCCAAAAGGACACCAUUAAACUCCUUCUGCCCAGAGCCAUGAAAACUACAGCAGAGUGCCAACAACCCUAAUGUUUACUAUUAUUGUACUAGUGCACCAGAGCAUUGAUCUCUGUGUGGGGGGCUGUACAAGAAGAGUGUUCUGAUUCAGAGGCUGAAAGCCAAGUGUAAGACCAGAAAAAUGACACAUAUUUGUCACAGGCACAGGGAGCAUGAGAGAAGAAAGGCAGCCAGAGAGUUGCCAGGUUUUUUUAUAGGCCAUACAGAUAAGGAGUGUCAGAGAGAGCUCAGAAAGAUUAUUUUUCCAACACACAUUAUUAAGAGCCUGGUAGCAAGGAUGGGAAGAAGCACAGAGAUGUUAGAAAUGGCAGCAGGUAGGCAGUGGAACUGGUCAUCACAAGCUGAUAUCCCAGUAAUACUCUGGAACAGAUGAACAGGGAUGGGCUGGGGAAAGAUGGGUCUUGAAGAGGAAGGAACAGCAAAGAGAGAAGGGGUAAGAACAGUCCUGCAUUGUGAGGACAAGGGCUUGGUUAUCCAAGAGUUUUCUUUCCCUCUCUUGUUUCCCAGGGGGAGGAGCGGUGUUUCAAGGGAGAAUAAUACAAUGGUUUCACUGUGUUGAGAGAUUUAUGGUUUGACUUUACCAUGUGUUAAAAUAUUGAUUCUCUUUCUAACAUAUGCUUGAGAUAUUGACAAUGGUUUUUUUCUCUCUAGAAGACUGACUUCUGCAAACAAAAGGUGGGACUUGACGGUAGGAUGCGGCGAGGAUGGGUAAAAACAAAGUGACGUAAGAGAAGCACAAGUCUCGAAUUUCUUCCACUCAAUUAAAUAAAGAUAGCAAGAGAGACACAGAGCAGUGUGUGGUGGUGAGAAGCUGGAAUAAUUAAAGAAUAAUCUGACAGACGGUGCACUUACGGGCAAUUACAGCAAGCCUCUGCUGGCACUCCAGGGCACGGGGCCAAAGACUUAGGGGAUUCAAACCACACAAGUAGAGCAGUAACCUCCUAGAAAUGCCAGUGCAGAGCAUUUGGCUGAGGAGCCCAGAAUGGGACUUACAUGGAGCCAGGUCUCUGCGUUUACCAGGUGUUAGCAGGAAGAGCAGCCUGUCAAAAAGCCGUGGCUGUGUCCCUUGGAUAAUGCAUUUCCAGGCACGUCUCCUUGUCUUUUGCAUACAGCUUGAGGAUCUGCAUCAAACUACACCAAACAACAAACUUAAAAUAAGUAUAUUCAGAAAGCUCAACUAAAAAAAAAAUCACUUGUCUGUCAACUUCCUUUCAAAAACAAGGACUGGGUUAAACACCAAGCAAUCAAGCUUGAGGCUCUGAAGGCAUUUGGGAUUCCCACAGGGAGCCAUGCCAGGCUUUCUGUUCCUUGCCUCACCCCACCCAGUAAACCCAAACCACCUUCCUCCUCCUCCUCCUCUCUCUGAAGCUGGGCUCUGUGUCCCAGGGUCCCACUCAGCAGCUUCAGGGACAACUGCAUGAAAUCUGCAGGUGUAUUUCUGAAAGCACUGGGAUGCAUUGUUUACCAAAUGCUGCCACACGACAUUUCUGAUCUCAUCAGCACACAGAGAGGUGAAACAAGCUCUAGAAUUUGAGAAAAGAAGAAAAGAGAGAGAGAUCCAAGUGGAAAGCAAACACAGAUCAGGUGCUGUGAAAAGCUUCUUAAACUGUCAACAAAGUAUUUACUUAAACUCAGAACAGAAAGUCACCUUCAAGAUGGGUAGUUCCCAUCAAAGUGGCUUUAUUUUUAAACACCCCAUGUCUGGAGCUGCAUGACUAUACAGGACUCUGAACCAAAUUUUUGCUUUUAAAAGUAAGAACUUGAUUCCAGACUUUCUUGUCAUAUGGAAAACAUGAACUUGAAAGGCUUAAAAAGCAGAAGGAAAAUAAAAAGCGUUUUAAAUGUAUAAAGAAAAAACCCAAGCCUCAUAAACAAAUGGGACUGGCAACAUUGCUUCACCUAAAUGCUUUUUUCUUCUACUUAGUAGGAGAUGUUUCUCAAGACUUGAAAUAAGUGUUGUUUUGUAUCUGCAGGGCUUUCAGCAAGUGGCUGCCAAAUUACGAAACCCUCUGGAUUCCAGCAAUGCACAUCUCUGCUGUCUGCUGCACUCAGAGUAUCUGGGAACAGGAGGAGGAAAACAAGCUUAUCAUUUAUAAAAUUAUUGCUGGUUUUGUGGCUCUGAGGCUCUCUGCAGUGCACAAGAAUAACUUGUUUGUGACAUCAGUAAAAUAAGGAUGUGCCACCUAGAGCACGUUGUCCUCUCCAUGGAUACCAUGCUCAGGCUUUCUCAAAUAACACUGGGCUCCAGCCCGAGGUCGAGUCUCAGGACUCUGGGAAGCUUCAUGCUAUGGGGACACAACUUGAGACCUGGGCACAAGGACAGUCUUGUUCUGACUUCUUCAGCCCUGUGGAAUGGCACCAAGAUAAUGCACUGGCUCAGCACAGUCCCACUGCAAGUGCACGGUGCUUUUCCCAGAUGGAAGGAUUUUGGCAAAAGCUUCCCAGCUAUUCCUGGGAACUGGAAAGGCCCGUGAGAGAAAUGAAUGGGUGCUUGAGCACAUGUCAACCCCAGUGGCCAAAAAGGUUAAAAAAUGGGGUAUAACUAUGAAUAAAUAGCAGCCUUACUCAAAACUAAA